RNAcentral lists this ribosomal RNA (424 nucleotides) under Fusobacteriota bacterium. Its description in RNAcentral is "Fusobacteria bacterium partial 16S ribosomal RNA". It matches the Rfam family "Bacterial small subunit ribosomal RNA", at positions 355 to 776 of the family's 1533-position model. Lineage: Bacteria; Fusobacteriati; Fusobacteriota. The record is from RNAcentral.
UGAGGAAUAUUGGUCAAUGGGCGAGAGCCUGAACCAGCCAAGUAGCGUGCAGGAUGACGGUCCUAUGGGUUGUAAACUGCUUUUAUGUGGGGAUAAAGUUCGUGACGUGUCAUGCAUUGCAGGUACCACAUGAAUAAGGACCGGCUAAUUCCGUGCCAGCAGCCGCGGUAAUACGGAAGGUCCGGGCGUUAUCCGGAUUUAUUGGGUUUAAAGGGAGCGUAGGCUGUCUAUUAAGCGUGUUGUGAAAUUUACCGGCUCAACCGGUGGCUUGCAGCGCGAACUGGUCGACUUGAGUAUGCAGGAAGUAGGCGGAAUUCAUGGUGUAGCGGUGAAAUGCUUAGAUAUCAUGACGAACUCCGAUUGCGCAGGCAGCUUACUGUAGCAUAACUGACGCUGAUGCUCGAAAGUGCGGGUAUCAAACAGG